Molecule: transfer RNA, 97 nt
Filed under: Alkalibacter rhizosphaerae
Lineage: Bacteria; Bacillati; Bacillota; Clostridia; Eubacteriales; Eubacteriaceae
Description: Alkalibacter sp. ES005 tRNA-Sec
Rfam family: Selenocysteine transfer RNA
Source: RNAcentral
GGGGACGGAUAGGCCCUGGUGGGUCUCACGGACUUCAACUCCGUUGUCGGGUGGCUCGACCAUCCGAGGUGGGUUCAAUUCCUACACGCUCCCGCCA